Alligator mississippiensis (American alligator) is the source of this 8351-nucleotide long non-coding RNA. RefSeq lists it as uncharacterized. The record is from RefSeq and is a predicted model, not a curated record. The transcript has 4 exons. NCBI's taxonomy places the organism in Eukaryota, Metazoa, Chordata, Crocodylia, Alligatoridae.
AAUGAAGCUACAGACGUCAUUGCCUCCUGUUGGACGUGAGAUGUGUCCAAGCAUCAGCCCCGGUAGCUUAAGGGAAGAAAAAAAAAAAAACCAAGAACAACAACAACAAAAAAAACCCAACAAACCAAACCCAAACCCCAAGUCCUGAACUUCCCGGCAGCCGGCAGGCAGCUUCCUCGGAGCCGGCGAGCCGGUGCAUCCCGGCCGAGGGAGGCCGAGCGGGCGGGAUGAGCGGCCCCCGCCGUGCCCCGGCCCAGGUGCCGCGCGCGCUCCGCUUGCAGCCCGCUCCCGGGAGGGGGAGAGCGCCAGAAAUAGCUCCCGCCAACCUGCCGCUUCCUUGCUGCAGCCUCCGACCCACGGCAGAGGCGCUCCCCGCCGGGGUGCUGCAGUCCCGGGCCCGGGCACCAGCCGCCCGCCGCUCCGGCCACAAGAGGUCUUGUUCCACCGGGAAGAUGCCCUGCUGCGGGGACGCUGCCCUCUGCCCCUCUCCUCGGGCCACUUGUCCUGCGAGGCCACCUGGUGCCAAGCCUGGAGGCCACUCCAAAGUCUCUUCCCCUCUCUUGAAGCAGCGAUCUCUUUCCAUCUCUCUCUCUCUCCCCCUGUGUGUGUGUUUCUCUCUCUCUCUCUCUUUCUCUCUCCCCCUCCACAUACACUCAUCUCCCCGGAGAGAGAGAGGGGAGAAACUCAACUCCGAAACACCGGCCAGAUGUCGAAGAAACGCAAAACCCUGGAGGGUGGAAGAUCCGGGAUCCCCCAGGAGGAAGCCAGAGCCCCCUUUGGGGCCAGCGAGGAGCAAGAUACAUCUGUUUGCUUGUUGUCACAUUGUGGAGUGAGCAGCCGUUGUUUCAUUGGCCCUUUUGCUACCACCAUCCGUGAGAAGAACGCACAAGAGAAGGCUACAUGGAAGCAUAAACACUGCAUGAAUUAUUACCACUGUGCACAGUCUAAAUGCACUCAUCUAGUGACACAGGCCCCAGUGUUAAACUGAAUACAAUUGUGGCAAAGGUCUGUUAGUGUAUUAUUUAUUCAACUGGAUGUAUAGAUAUUUCUGUUCUUUUCCCUGUAGUGAUGGAGGCUGAUAGCUGAUUCCUUCUGUACUGAGUAUGACUAUGACCAAGUUAUUUCCUAACAUCCUAGUUCAAAGAGAUGUCUUUGGCUGCAAGCUGCACGGGCAGUGGGAUUUUGGCAAGGUCUUAUCAGCUGGGAAAGUACCAUAUAUUUUGUAAUAUUGGGACCUUCACUGAGAGCAUUCUUCUCUCAACAGUUUUAGGAGGAAAUUGCUCUCAGCACAGAACUGGGAAUUGGAGUUCAGCAGGAAUGGUGGGGAGGUGGUUUCCAAGUACAGAAAGCAGGGCCUUGUCCAUCCUGGGUGUGGAAGGUAAGAUUGAAGUGUGGAGUAGCUAGUGUGGUAUGUUCACUGAAGAAACAAACUGAGACGCUACAGAGUGAGAAAAGUGUAUUUGAUAGACUCCCAUCAGAGUUCAUUUAAUAUUUAUUUUCAAACAUUAACUUUGGGGUAUCUCAACUAAUUGAAAAAGUGAGCUAAACAUCUAUUAUAUCCUCUGAGAGCUUUAAGAAGAAAGAACAGUUCUUUAAAAUGUGAUUUCAGAACCUGUGACUCUUAAGUGCUGGAAGUACACCAAUAAUACAGCUAAGAUGGUAGAUCAACAAAGUCUGCAAAACAUGGCCAGCGGGUUGGCAAAAUCUUCUGACAAGCUACCUUCAAUUUAACUAUAGUAAAGGACAAAAAAACUCACCCCAAAAUUGCCCAAGGUGCAAAACGACUGCAAUUCUCCUUCGACCAACUAAACAAAUGUGUAGGAGGAUUUCAAAAUCAGAAAUGGAACAAAGAAUAUCAGCACCUGAUUAGGCUCAUACAUCAAAGUUGCAUCUGUAAGAAGGAUAAGAAAUAGAAUAGUCUUUGGCCCAUGUUUAACCCAAAAUCUGCAGGGGACAAAAAGCUGAUGUUAAAUCCGACUAGACAGCCCAUACUGCAGAUGGGCCAAUGCAAAGCCUAAACCUGGCUGAACUUAAUGGAAAACAACACCCAAGAGCAAUGAGGCUGAAGAAAGCUUCUGUAAAUGAUGUGCAUGCAAUAUAAAUAACUCAGGAUUUGACUGAACACUAAAUCAGCUGAUGACUACUCUAGACUCUGGAGAUACCUGAGGUUUUUUAUUUUAUUUGAAUUUAUACAAAAAUAUAAAAGGGCUGCUUACUUAAGCUUCUGUGGCAGGUCUUCAUUUUUUUUCUUCAAAAUUAUUCAAUUGGUUUAAUUCAAAUUAUUUCUUGCUAUAAUGAUAUCUAGCAGAGUAUGCAAGAACGGUAUCUUUCAUAGCAAGAGUAAAUAUAAUUAAAAAUGUGUGAACAAACCUAGUAUUUGCCUAGUAUUUUCUUGUUAAUCCUCCUACUGUUAAGUAGGCUUUGGCUAAAUAAUUUAUCCUGUUAAAUUGAUACAUAUUACAGCAAGCCAGGGCUUGGCCAAAAGAAAAUGCUGCACUAACGCAAAUGAACUGCAAUGUUUCAUGAAUUCACUGUCUUCUAGUAGACACUAGAGGGCACAAAUUCUCUAGCAGUUGUGUUUUAUCUUUCAUCUUUGUCAAUAUGAAUGCUAAUAACAAUCUAACUAGAUCAGGCUUUUAAGAGGGACUAUAAAGCUUAAUUAGAAAUGCAUAGGAACGUUAACGAAAGUAUUCAUUUUAAAUACAUUUAUCAAGGUAGGUAGAGAGAUGGAUGUAUAUUCUAGGUGUAUAUAUAUCAUCCUUUAUAUUUGUAUAACAUGGACUUGUGUCUAUAUAUUAUAUAAAUGUCAUUAAUGUAUAUAACAUUUGCAGGUAGUGCAUACUCAUACACACAUGAUGAUGCAAUUUAAAGGUUUUUAGUCUGAACCAGUGAUGGCAACAUGACUCAUAGGUGAUUUAAACCACAAAUGAAUUAGGCAGUUCAAUCUAACUGAAUGUCAAAGAUUUAUACAGCAACAUAAUUUAUUUUGUAUAUAGUAUGCUAAAAAAUUGUUUUCUGAAAUAUGCUGGACAGUUUUAAACUUUUCUAUUUGGCCUCUUGUAUGUAUUUUUCUAACUGUAAAACCAGCUGCUUUGCUAGCAUUAGCUUAACUUCGCAGGAUUCUAAAUGAAGAAUUUGUUACUAAUCAAUUUAAUUUUAAUCUAAAACACACACACAAGUGUCACAACUUUAGACCCUGUCAACAAAGCAUUUAAACAUGUACUCAAGUCCCACUGGCUUCUAUGGGUUUAAAACACAACAUUAAAAUUAAGUACAUGCUAAUCUAUAUCUUGAGACCUGGUGGAGCUAGAAGAAAGUUUGCUUCCUUGGACAGCGUAAUGGUCUUGUUUCAAGUUGAGUUUGGAAUGUUAGCGGCAAUUUUGGAGGAGAUGGAUUUGUGAGCAGAGUGCAAUUUAUCAUAUAGGUAUCAAGUCAAAGAUCCACCCUGGUCCGGUGGCCCAUUGGACUAGCCUGGUUAAGUCAUGCCACAUUUUGCUGACCAGUGCCAUGUGGUGGUGAUGUAACUGAAAUCAUGCCCAUCUGCUGUCAACUCCCCAGCUCAAAAGACCAGAUGCCCAUUUACAACUGGAUUGACUGGGGGCUGACCUUCAGCACAAGUCCACAAUGACGCUCAGACUCAUACUGUGUACAGUGUAGUGAGAUGCCAUGACCACCUUGCAACCAUGUCCCCUCAGCUGGCUGUCACUCCCAAAGACUUGACUUUAUUUUGCUGUCUAUAAUCAAACCCUCUCUAAAGCUCUAUCCCCUGUGCCUUCACAGGUACACAAAAAAUCAUACAGUGAUCAAACAAACCAAGCAAACUCCUAUUAUAACCAGGAUGGGCAAUUAUUUUGGCUGGAGAGCCAUGUAGGGAGGUUUGGUGAGCUGUUCUGGGACGGGUCACGCUCUCCCUCCUCUCCUGCAUCAGCUCACCAAAACUCCUUAAGUGGUCCGAGGAUGCCAGAUGGAGUGUGUGGGUGGGGUGUCCAGGGAGACUGGCCCAGGACCCCUGCGGGCAAGGAGUGCCCAGCCGGGUGCAUGGAAUGAAGCUGUGAGCAGGUGGAAAGUGGCACCUGGGAGCGGGGCAGGUGGGCAGAGCUGGGGUCAGGCUGGGACAGUGGAAUGGUGACUGGGGUAGAGCCAUAAUCUGCUUCCUGCAUGGCCCUGUGAUCCCAGUGCUGGUCACCUGUCCUGCAGCCCCAUCCCAUGCACCUGGCCACAUGCCCUACCUGCAGAGGUCCCAGCUGGUCUCUAUGGAUUUUGCUGACCGGCUGGCCAUGUUUUGCAGAUUUUGCUAAUCUACCAUUUUAGCUGCAUACUCCAUCCAGUACCCACACAGUGGUAGGGGCAGGUUGGACAGGCUACGGUGCUCAGGCAGUGAAACUAGCAGUAGCAGUCGAAAGGAGCCAACACUGCCGAAACUGCCAGGAACGAGAGCCCGGCUGCUGAACAGUCCCAACCAGCUGUGCCCUGCACCUGGGCCAGGAGGGGCCAAGGGAUCCACUGCAGGCUAGAUAAAAUUGUUUGGGCCAGAUUAAGUCUACAGGCUGUAUUUUGCCCACCCCUGAAUUAUCAUUUCUGUAAUAACCCUGGUUCAGUUUUCUGCUCUACCACAGUUUUCCGCUGCAACCCUGGGCAUGUCAGUUAAUCUCAGUGCUUCACUUCCCCACUGCCAAAAUAGAGAACACUCUUAUGUCCAUCUCACAGAAUAAGAGUGUUGUUAGAGGUGCUCAGUUCCUGUGAUAAGGUGGGCCGUGCAGGUACUGUAAGUAUAAGAUGUACAGCCAUUGAUCUUUAGUCUCAUCCUUCCUCAGAGCUUCCCCCUCUUACAACUAGUUUGUUUGUUUGUUUGUUUGUUUGUUUGUUUGUUUUACUGUGCUGUGUUGGUUCUCGCUGCUCAGACCUGAUGGAUGUCUUGCAGUCAAACUUAGCUAACUCUAUUCCAGCUAUACAGUUGGUCCCAUAAAAGGUAUCACCAUUAGAAAUCCUUGCAUCUUGCAUAAUUCCUAGACCAUCGCAGCUACGUCACUCUAACUGCCAAAAGCUCAAAGAAAGAGAUAGGGCCCAGAAGGUGGGGAGAGGACUUUAAACUCUGGGGCAAGGAGUGUGGCUUACUGUGUUUUUGUACAGUAUUGAGCACAACUGGGGCUGAUCUGGUUCACAGAGUGGCCCAUCCCAGACAAUUUUUAUUAUUGACAAGCUACAAAAUGUUUACUGACAACCAAAUUUUUUUAUUGAUAUAUGUUUUCCCUUCUGUCAGACUCUAGACUAGGGCUAGGUUCAAACCAUAGUAAAAAAAAAUGUUUGGAGAUUAUUGGUAGAAAAAAAUUGAGUUUGUUGGUAACCCUACUUGAUUGCAGCAUUGGGUUUACUCCGUGUUGCUGCCCUCCUUCCCCGUCCCCCCCGCAGGGGUCUCAUGCUCACCCAGAUCACACGCUGCACCAUACUGCUUCCCCCCAUCCCAACACAGAACCCCAAAGAAGAUCUACUGCCUGUAUACCUGCCACCCAGCAGUCUUAAAGGCAGAUGGGAAGCAGCACCAGUACACAAAGCUCUGACAAGGUGCUGCACUCUGGCUUGGAUAACAUUGGUGCUACUGUUCUGUCUGAACUACAAUGGUGCAUCCAGCUUGUUUUCUGAACGUGGAGCUUUGCUGGAUGUGUGGAGCUGUUGUUGUGGAGCUGUUUUUGCUUGGUGAUUUAUGGACAGUACAAUUUUCUUACAGAAUUUAAAGACAGCUGUAUUUAGCCUGGUUAUUUACAGUGUCCAUACAUUUACAAACAGUUGGCAACCCUGCUGGUUGGGAACUUUAGGUGCUCCUAUAAUAUAAAUAUUACAGGCUGUUCUGGAGCAAGGCCAUAGGAAUUCCUAAGUCAAGAGGCACUCGUGAGAUUGGAGCAUUGGAAGAUUUCUCCAAUGAGCCUUUGCUGCUCUCAACAGUUACAAAAUAUAAAGGGGAGCAUUUUUUUCUGGCAAAUGGUGUCACAGGUGGGACUUCAGCAAUCAGAACCAGCAUCCUGAAUUCUCCCAAGAAGUCAGCUAGUUGCUAGUGAAAGGCUAAAGCACGUACCCCUGAUGACAGAUCCUACUCGGGAAGCAAGCAGCUAUGUUCUGCACAGUUCUUUUCUAUGGUCUUCAUCCACUUGUGGAGCUAGUUGCAAAGGAUGAUGGUUGCAAAGAGAAUUGUUUAUCAUUGUGAUCACUACUCCUCUGAACCAGCAUUUGCUUCUGACCAGAUCACAGUUGUGAAUCAAAUGAUGGGCAGGUGCUUAUCCACAGAGAAGGGAGAUGUAGUCUUCAACUUGAACUUCUGAUUGUUCAUCCCAACUGUCCUGAUUAACACAGAACUCCCCAGAAAUCUGAGCCCCAAAUCUUACUUAGAUCAUAAUUGAUAAGUUUAUGGGUCUCUCUCUAACAAUUUUUUGUGCCCACUUGAAAAAAAAAUGUAACGGUGCAACUUUAUUUUCACUUGGAUCAACACUGUUAUUAAAAUCUGUUGUUGGCCUCUUGUGUUUUCCUGAGUGUUGAGUGAUUUGGAUAGUGGUAGUAGGGAUUGCGCUGUGUUGAGUAUAGCUGCAAAGAGUUAGCUGAACUAUGUCUGACUGACUUAUGCUAGUAGCAAUUAUAAUGAUUCUUCAUUUUUGUAAAAUCUAAUGCCUUUCACUGUAAUGGAGAAUCGGAAAUCAAGUAAGAAACACAGAAGUAACUGUUCCUAUGACCACAGAGACAUCUGAAAGAACAGUGUUUGAAAGGCUAAAGAACCAAAGUGAGAAUGGAAUAUUGGUUACUUGCAGGCGCUUUGCUUUUCUUCUUCCAAAUCUACCUACCACAUUAAUGGCUUGAUUUAAAUCAAGAGAGGCAGAGAUUUAUGAAGGAGCAGAGAUUAAAAUAGCUGAGCUUUGUCAGGCAUCAGAUAUUAAAGAUGCUGAUUGUAUAAACUCAGUGUGAUUAGUCAGAAAAGCAGCUGUAAAAAGGCUGCUGUGUGUUGCACUUAUUGGCUUUUUGAUAAGAUUCAUCCAGGAGGUAAUGGGCUGAGAGAUACUUUAAUGUUAGUGGGAGUAAUUGCUAUUAAUCAAUAAUGCUUUUGAAUUUUAAUGAGUACUACUUAUGCUUUGAAGAGCCACCUACUUUCUGCACCCUGGCUCUCCUAUUCCAAAUUCUUUCUUUUUUGAACUUACUUCCUGUUGCAUUGAAGGGAAGGAAUCUUUUUAAUCAACAGUAGUGUAGAUUGCAACUCUGGAUGCUUUUUAACAUUGAGGGGCUUUUUGUGCUCUCUAAAGUACUUCUAAAUGAAUAAAUGCAUGUAAGUCAAAUAUGUGAAGGGUGGUUAUAAAGAGUUUGACGAUAGAUUAUACUCUGUGGCCUCAGGGGAUAGGACAAAAAGUAAUGGUCUCAUAUUGCAACAAGAGAGAUUUAGGUUGGAUAUUAGGAGAGCUUUCUUGCUAUGAAGGUGGUUAAGCAUUGGAGCAGAUUAUUUAGAGAGUUUAUGAAAUCUCCAUCUGUGGAAGUGUUUAAGAAAAGAUUCGACAAACACUUAUCUUGAAAGGUUUAGACUGGUUGUUCUCAACAUUUUUAGACUCAAAGCGCCCCUUGCUGGAUUCAAGUUUCCUCUUGUUAGGCAUGAGGCAGCCCUCAGAAUAUGCCAGCUCUUCGGUUUCACUCAUUUUUUACUAUGGAAAAACAAUAGCAAUUUUUUUGCUGCAAAGUAUCCAGAAAGAUCAUAACAGGUCAGAAUGUUUUUAACACUGUGGGUUCCUAUUUGAAAUCUCUGGUUUUAUCUUAUUAAUUACAUUUGCCCACCCAACAGUGUUAACAUUGUGCAGUACCCCACAGCACCCUUGAAAGAAUCUCAAGGCACCUCAGGGGGUUGGUAGGCAGGGAAGAUCCUGCCUUGACAAGAAUGUUGGACUGGACGAACUCAUGAGUUGCCUUCCAGCCAUAUUUUUCUCUCUCUUUAAAUCCUCCUUGGAAUUCUAAUUUUCCAGGAGCCUGAUUCUGUGAGGCAUCAAAUGCCCUCAAUUUCCACUGCAAUGCAAGCAUUAACUUUGGGUGGAGGGGGUGGAAGGCAAUAAGGACAAUCAUAGGGUUUUAAAUUGUUUUGUCUGCAUUUUCAGUGCUUUGUGUUGUCAUCUGAAAAAUGACCACUUGGCUACUUUAUACAUGUGAGGAUCUAAAAACCAAAUAAAAAACUCUCUCUCAGAUAGUAUUUCAGUAUUAAUCUCUUCUCUGACUAUCCAGUCACUUGAAAUUAAGCUGUUGGCCUGUGUUUUAUACAUGUCUUUGGGUGUAAGCAGUAGGGCACUAAGUGUCUGGCAUGUAUCUGUGAAUCACUUUGUAAAUUAAUGAUUUAG